ACUCAAAUGAAUAGACGGGGGCCCGCACAAGCGGUGGAGCAUGUGGUUCAAUUCGAAGCAACGCGCAGAACCUUACCCACUCUUGACAUCCCGGUCGCGGGGACCAGAGAUGGACCCCUUCAGUUCGGCUGGACCGGUGACAGGUGCUGCAUGGCUGUCGUCAGCUCGUGUCGUGAGAUGUUGGGUUAAGUCCCGCAACGAGCGCAACCCUCGCCGUUAGUUGCCAGCAUUUGGUUGGGCACUCUAACGGGACUGCCGGUGAUAAGCCGGAGGAAGGUGGGGAUGACGUCAAGUCCUCAUGGCCCUUACGAGUGGGGCUACACACGUGCUACAAUGGCGGUGACAGAGGGCAGCUACCCCGCGAGGGGACGCUAAUCCCGAAAAGCCGUCUCAGUUCGGAUUGCACUCUGCAACUCGAGUGCAUGAAGUCGGAAUCGCUAGUAAUCGCAGAUCAGCACGCUGCGGUGAAUACGUUCCCGGGCCUUGUACACACCGCCCGU
This 500-nucleotide ribosomal RNA is filed under the name uncultured bacterium. Its description in RNAcentral is "partial 16S ribosomal RNA". It matches the Rfam family "Bacterial small subunit ribosomal RNA", at positions 899 to 1397 of the family's 1533-position model. The record is from RNAcentral.